This 658-nucleotide long non-coding RNA is filed under the name Homo sapiens (human). RNAcentral's name for it is "HSALNT0188887". Lineage: Eukaryota; Metazoa; Chordata; Mammalia; Primates; Hominidae. The record is from RNAcentral.
CUGACCUGUGACAUUCCUCUGCUGCCACCCCAUCCUGGAGCAAGGAGUCUUUCUCAGACCAGCACAGCUCUGCUCUGAUCAGCCCAAUCACCCCCGCUGUCUUUCUGAAAACGAGCACCUUGAAGCCCAUCCUUCUCCUUACACCUCAGCACCCAGAACAGGAUUCAGGGAACAGAUGGGUUGGCCUUGGGGAAGAGACUCAAACUAGGGGUGAUGGACAGAAGUGGGAUGAGCUUAUUCCUGCUGCCCCAGAGCUCCAACCCCAGAGCAGAGGACAAGGAAGGAGGGGCACAAAGGGAUCCAGGUAAUGUAGUGUGAAGAGCACUAGACUGGAAGGAGUUCAAAGACCAUGAACUAGCUGGCGGACAAUGGGCAUGCCAGACUCUGCAAGCUCUGGACUCUGUCUGAAAUGUAAGGUAAUACUCCCCUUUCUGUCCACUUCACAGAUUUGUGGCAGGUUUAGGAAGAUGAUGAACAGGGCGAGCACUUCUGGCUGUGGCUCCCUUAAUCAGUGGGGCUGUGGCCAAUACUUACUUGUCUACCAGGCCCUUGUGCUGGAGGAUGCUGUAUAGCUCCCGGGCUGUCUCGGGCCCCUGCAGUUUCUGCCCAUUCAGCAACUCUUUCUCCAGCUGCUCAAUGGACUGUGCAGAAAACAGGA